RNAcentral lists this ribosomal RNA (567 nucleotides) under Naganishia albida. RNAcentral's name for it is "partial large subunit ribosomal RNA". It matches the Rfam family "Eukaryotic large subunit ribosomal RNA", at positions 73 to 646 of the family's 3401-position model. The record is from RNAcentral. Lineage: Eukaryota; Fungi; Basidiomycota; Tremellomycetes; Filobasidiales; Filobasidiaceae.
GAUUCCCCUAGUACGGCGAGUGAAGCGGGAAGAGCUCAAAUUUGAAAUCUGGUAGCCUUCGGUUGCCCGAGUUGUAAUCUAGAGAAGUGUUUUCCGUGCCGGCCCAUGUACAAGUCCCUUGGAACAGGGCGUCAUAGAGGGUGAGAAUCCCGUCCUUGACAUGGACCCCCGGUGCUUUGUGAUACACUUUCAACGAGUCGAGUUGUUUGGGAAUGCAGCUCAAAAUGGGUGGUGAAUUCCAUCUAAAGCUAAAUAUUGGCGAGAGACCGAUAGCGAACAAGUACCGUGAGGGAAAGAUGAAAAGCACUUUGGAAAGAGAGUUAAACAGUACGUGAAAUUGUUGAAAGGGAAACGAUUGAAGUCAGUCAUGCUCUUGGGACUUACCUCCCUUGAGUGGGGUCAACAUCAGUUUUGAUCGAUGGAUAAAGGCACGGGGAAGGUAGCACUCUCGGGUGAACUUAUAGCCUCGCGUCAUAUACAUUGAUUGGGACUGAGGAACGCAGCAUGCCUUAUGGCCGGGAUUCGUCCACGUACAUGCUUAGGAUGUUGACAUAAUGGCUUUAAACG